GACGAAACGCUGGCGGCGUGCUUAACACAUGCAAGUCGAGCGAGGCCCUCCCUUCGGGGGGUGCCCUAGCGGCGAACGGGUGAGUAACACGUGGGCAACCUGCCCUCAGCUCGUGGGAGUAACUCCAAGAAAUUGGUGCUAAUACCGGAUGUGACCGCUGACCGCAUGGUCUGGUGGUGGAAAGAUUUAUCGGCUGAGGAUGGGCCCGCGGCCUAUCAGCUUGUUGGUGGGG
This 232-nucleotide ribosomal RNA is filed under the name uncultured bacterium. Its description in RNAcentral is "partial 16S ribosomal RNA". It matches the Rfam family "Bacterial small subunit ribosomal RNA", at positions 32 to 257 of the family's 1533-position model. The record is from RNAcentral.